This 226-nucleotide ribosomal RNA is filed under the name uncultured bacterium. RNAcentral describes it as "partial 16S ribosomal RNA". It matches the Rfam family "Bacterial small subunit ribosomal RNA", at positions 538 to 763 of the family's 1533-position model. The record is from RNAcentral.
ACGUUGUUCGGAAUCACUGGGCUUAAAGGGCGCGUAGGCGGACCGAAAAGUCAGGGGUGAAAUCCUCCAGCUUAACUGGAGAACAGCCUUUGAUACUGGCGGUCUCGAGGAAGGUAGGGGCAUGCGGAACUGAUGGUGGAGCGGUGAAAUGUGUUGAUAUCAGCAGGAACUCCGGUGGCGAAAGCGGCGUGCUGGACCUUUUCUGACGCUGAGGCGCGAAAGCCAG